GGUGUGAACUGUGAUGACAAAAUGACCAAUUUGCCCCUCACCAUUUUCGUUUUCUCCCCAAUCUUGCUCAUCUGCCUCCUCUUCUCUUUCAUUUUUCGCGCCUUGAUCGGCAGUAGUUCGUCUCCAUUUUCUUCUCCACCUGUUCCCCUCUCCUCCUGCACCCUCAUCGCCCCUCUAUUUCGGCGACAGUAGGGAGAAAAUCAAGAUGGGCGUGGAUGGAGAGGUGGGCAAGGGUGACGGCAAAGACGAGGCGACGGAGGAGGGCGAGGGGGUGUUUAUAGGCGCGGAUGGAGAUGUGAGAAAGGGCGAGGCAGCGGAAGAGGGCGAGGUGGCCAGGCAGAGAAGAGCGAGGCAACAAUGUUGAAGAGAGAAGGAUGAGGGUAUUUUUGGUAUAAUAAACUAUAUAAUAAUAUUUUAUAAACAGAACUGUAACGAAGCACUAACGGCAGGGGGUGAAGUGAACAUUUUUUAUUUUACAAGGGGGCAAAGUGUAGAUUUUUAAAUGACGGGAGUGAAAGUGAAAACAUGGGUAUUGACAGGAGGGUUUCUGUACUUUAACAUUUUAAAAAACUAAAUUCAUCUAUUAUAUUCUAUUAAAAAAUUUUCAUCAUAUCCUACCUCAAAUUUAAAUAAUUGUUGUCGAUGAUAAUUAUAUAGUCUAUUUUUUAUUGUAUAAAAUUUGAGUUUAAAUCGUGAAUUAAAUUUAAUUUUGGAUAUCAAAUUUGAUUUUGAAUUAAAGGCAUAUUAAAAUUUUGAUACUUUUAGUUUAAAACACAUACUUAAAUUUUAAGUUCGUUAAAAUUCAAAAAACAUUAAAAAGUAUUCAAUAUAUCAUUAAAUUUUAACUCAUAUUUGAGUGUCCGGCUACUACACUAUUAUGAGUACGAUCGUUCUCGUACUCAUAAAUCAUUUUCGAUGAUAGAGCUUCCGAAUCGACGAUCCAUACCAUUAAACGUUAUUUACAGUAUUUAAAACUUCUAGAAAUCAAAUUUUAUAAUUUUUCGACAUCAUUUACCUUACGAUCAAGAGAUCACAAAUUUGACAAUUUUUAAUGGCCGGUAUGGGAUACUUGCUAGUUUAACAGUGUAAAAGAAUCGGAAUUUGUUGAAUUUUUGAUAGAAAAUUCUAUUUACUACCUAGAUAAAGAUCAAUAACUCCGAUCUUGAAUUGAAGGAUCCGAUCAUCCUUUUUUAGGACGUCGUUCGAUUUUGACCAUUCAUUUUAUGCCCGCUUGAUGGACUUUAUUAUGAUUUCGAAAUUUUACGAAAUUUAUUUUUGUAGAAAUCUCAAAUACUCUAGAUCAUAUUUAACGGAGUGGAUCGUCGAUUCGGAAGCUCCAUCAUCAAAAACAACUUAUGAGUACGAGGGCUCCAAUACUCAUAAUAGUAUAGUAACCACGGUCCAUAUUUGAAAUUAAAUUCACACUUUUUUUUUUUGAGAGAUAGGUAGCAUGCUACCCGCUUCGUUUUUUUCAUUUAGAAAUAAACUUAGCUAGAAAUGUGAAUCAAUUAGGAUUCGAACUUGGGUCUCGGGUACGAACCACCAAGUCCUUUGCCACUUGCUCUAGGGACG
RNAcentral lists this long non-coding RNA (1572 nucleotides) under Ananas comosus (pineapple). RNAcentral's name for it is "long non-coding RNA (ACOM_LNC003619)". Lineage: Eukaryota; Viridiplantae; Streptophyta; Magnoliopsida; Poales; Bromeliaceae. The record is from RNAcentral.